CAAAAGCGUAUAUUAAAGUUGUUGCAGUUAAAAAGCUCGUAGUUGGACCUUGGGCUUGGCUGGCCGGUCCAUCUUUUUUGAUGCGUACUGGACCCAGCCGAGCCUUUCCUUCUGGCUAGCCUUUUGGCGAACCAGGACUUUUACUUUGAAAAAAUUAGAGUGUUCAAAGCAGGCCUUUGCUCGAAUAUAUUAGCAUGGAAUAAUAGAAUAGGACGUUAUGGUUCUAUUUUGUUGGUUUCUAGGACCAUCGUAAUGAUUAAUAGGGACGGUCGGGGGUAUCAGUAUUCAGUUGUCAGAGGUGAAAUUCUUGGAUUUACUGAAGACUAACUACUGCGAAAGCAUUUACCAAGGACGUUUUCAUUAA
This 364-nucleotide ribosomal RNA is filed under the name uncultured eukaryote. Its description in RNAcentral is "partial 18S ribosomal RNA". It matches the Rfam family "Eukaryotic small subunit ribosomal RNA", at positions 592 to 976 of the family's 1831-position model. The record is from RNAcentral.